Hyla sarda is the source of this 725-nucleotide long non-coding RNA. RefSeq lists it as uncharacterized. The record is from RefSeq and is a predicted model, not a curated record. The transcript has 3 exons. Lineage: Eukaryota; Metazoa; Chordata; Amphibia; Anura; Hylidae.
UAUGCCAUAAUAAAAAAGAAUUGCAUUCACUUUAAGGAUUGUGUCUAGCGUUUGGAUUAUACACAAGAUCAUUUUACAGCUCUAAUAACAUUACUUCUUGCAGACACAAUUGCUGCACACAUAAGAGGCCUGGUUUCCCAUAGCGAUCAUUUGAUGUUUCUUUUUGUUUUACCGUGCAUCUUUGAAAAUAGUCUUGGCACACAUCUCUGUGUUUUUCCUCUAGUUCGAUCUGGGUGCCUGGGCCUGCUGUGCCAAGUUGUGAUGCCCACACAAAGCAUGCUGCCUGCGCUAAUGCCCAUGGAGCCAGCCACAUAUUACCAUGUGUCCAUUAUGGGCAGAACUACCAGGUUGGCAGACAUAGCAACUGGAAGGGGCCCACUGGAUUCAGAGGUUAAACUACAAUGGCUGUAAAUGAGAGGAUUCAUCUCAAUUAUAGGCGGAGUGUCACUGGAUGACACACGGUGUAUUAUGAGUAAUUAAAAUGAAGCAGAAAAAGGGCACUGUAACAAUAUGGUGAGGAACAGCAAGUAUCUCGAAAAGAAUCGACAGAUGGCCUCAUGAUGAAUCCUUGAUAAUACUGUCAUGUAAGCCUGCUAAGACUAGAAAUCAUUUUAAACAAUAAUUCACAGUAAAAAAACUGGAAAAUUUAGGUGAAAUAAACAGACAAAUAUCAGCAAGGCCAUGAGCGUAUGAGAUUCCUCCUGUAAAUAAACAGAAAAAAGCUU